Molecule: ribosomal RNA, 497 nt
Filed under: uncultured bacterium
Lineage: Bacteria
Description: partial 16S ribosomal RNA
Rfam family: Bacterial small subunit ribosomal RNA
Source: RNAcentral
UGGGGAAUAUUGCACAAUGGGCGCAAGCCUGAUGCAGCAACGCCGCGUGAGGGACGACGGCCUUCGGGUUGUAAACCUCUUUUAGUAGGGAAGAAGCGAAAGUGACGGUACCUGCAGAAAAAGCACCGGCUAACUACGUGCCAGCAGCCGCGGUAAUACGUAGGGUGCGAGCGUUGUCCGGAAUUAUCGGGCGUAAAGAGCUCGUAGGCGGUCUGUCGCGUCUGCUGUGAAAACCCGAGGCUCAACCUCGGGCCUGCAGUGGGUACGGGCAGACUAGAGUGCGGUAGGGGAGAAUGGAAUUCCUGGUGUAGCGGUGGAAUGCGCAGAUAUCAGGAGGAACACCGAUGGCGAAGGCAGUUCUCUGGGCCCGUAACUGACGCUGAGGAGCGAAAGCGUGGGGAGCGAACAGGAUUAGAUACCCUGGUAGUCCACGCCGUAAACGUUGGGCGCUAGAUGUGGGGACCAUUCCACGGUUUCCGUGUCGCAGCUAACGCAUU